AGAUGGACACUUUCCUCCUGUGCAAGGAGGGGGCAGCUGACACCCCAGCCGCCGUGUUUAAGAUCAGCGCUUCAGGCUCCACUCCCAGGCACAAUCCUCCGUGGGGGCUGUGAGCUCAGCCCCUGCUGGGCGGGGGCACCUACAGGGACGGAUUCUGUCCCUCCCACUUCUCCUGGGAGGCUGGCUCUCUGGGAAGGCCUUUCCCUCCAGCCCUGGGCUCCCCAUCUGAACAGGGGAGCUGCCUGACCUGAGCACCGAUCCUGGUUCCUGGCCUCUGGGCUCCUGGGCAGCGGGUCCUGGAGCAGGUCCUGGGCAGCCCUCUCUGGGCCUGCACCGCUUCUCUCAGUGACUGUGUCUGUGAGGAUGGAAGCACCAAGGUGGGGAGCAGGGCCGUCCUCAGCUGCCCAGGGCUCGGCUUGGAAAGCAGAGACACAGCAUUUUGGAAACAACAAAGAUUUAUCAAACUCUCCUGGUUGAGAACCUCCCCUCCGUGGGUCACACAAAAUCACUCAGAUUUUACUCUGAGCCACCGCUACACACAGCUCUGCAUGACCCCUCGCCUCCAGCAGGAGCCACUGAGACCAUCAGCCCAGCGCAGAACAGCUCAGACCCCAGCUCAGGGGAGUCGGGAGGAUUCUCAGCUAUGGGACUGGACUCUGAGGGUCACGUCCUGGCCAGGGGAGGCGGCUGCCCUGGGUGGACAUGUGGGGAUCCUGGGGUGAUUUGGUCCUGCUGACCUCUGACCUCUGUGUCCAAUUCCCAGCCUCACCUCCCCAGGACUACACAGUGCAGAACCUCAUCCGGAUGGGCCUGGCUGGCCUGGUCCUGCUGGUCCUCGGGAUCCUGCUGUUUCAGGCUCAGGACAGCCAGAGAGGGACCCGAGAUGCAGCCAGGAGGUGAACAGGAGAGAACAGGGCACACUCAGAGGGCAGAGCUGGGAGUCGAAGGACCCUCAGGAGUCUGAAGGCCACCUGGACAGGUGGGGCUGCACCUGAGACUCUCCUGGCAGCAGAGGUGACUGGGUGCAGGACCAGCUGGGUGCUGGCUGAGAGCCUUCCCACCAUGCUGUGCGCACCCAGGGCUGGCCCACCGCUCUCUGUAGCCCUCCACGCGCCAGUCCCCACGGGGAGAUGUGAAGAUGCCCCUGAAACACGGGACAUGCAAGCCACAGGCUGGUGUCUGAGGGACUGUGUAAGGGGCGCUGGUCCUGUGGACAUGACCGUGAAAAAGUCUCAUUAAAACCCUGAGAGUUCUGC
This is a non-coding RNA of Marmota flaviventris (yellow-bellied marmot), 1256 nucleotides long. Lineage: Eukaryota; Metazoa; Chordata; Mammalia; Rodentia; Sciuridae. The record is from RefSeq and is a predicted model, not a curated record.